Molecule: long non-coding RNA, 1083 nt
Filed under: Capsicum annuum
Lineage: Eukaryota; Viridiplantae; Streptophyta; Magnoliopsida; Solanales; Solanaceae
Description: long non-coding RNA (CANN_LNC013895)
Source: RNAcentral
UGAAUUUGAAAUCCAAUUGCUAGAGGGCGAGACUUCCUCCACCAGCACAUCGAUUGAACUCCCACCAGGGAACACUCUUUUCCUGUGCAUUAAUACCAUCAGAAUCACACAAACCAGCACAAUGAAAACAAAAUUAAAAGAAAAAGAAAAUCAAGUUGGUCUGUUUUACUUAGAAUAUUGGGAAAACACUCUUUACCCGUGCACCAAUAAUACCAUCAAAUAACACAGAACCCGCACAAUGAUAAACAAAAAUUAAAACCAAGAAAAUUAAACAGGUACGCGCUUUACAUAAAACUUUGGUGAAACACUCUUUUCCUGUGCAUUAAUAACAUCAGAAUCACACAACUCCAGAAAAUGAAAACAAAAAUAAAAUAAAAGAAAAUCAAAUUAGUAUGUGUUUUACUAGAAGUUCUGCAUAAACACUCUUUUCCUGUGCAUCAAUAGCAUCAGAAUCGACACACAAAAUGAAAAUAAAAAUAAACGAAAAGGGAAUUAGAUUGGUAUGUGUUUACUUGAAGUUAUGCGGAAACACUCUUUUCCUGUGCAUCAAUAACAUCAGAAUCACAGACAGACAAAAUGAAAAAAGAAAAUCAAAUUUAUAUUUUUUUACUUGAAGUUAUGUGGAAACACUCUUUUCAUGUGCAUUAAUAACAUCAGAUGAGAAUCACACAAACCCACAUAAGGUGAAUAAAAAUAAAAGAAUAACAGUAUCAGCAGAAUCACACUCAUUUGCUCCGACUUCAUGUGUUUCUAUCUUUUGCUCCUACUUCAGGUGGAACACUCAUUUUGUGUGCAUAUAUACCACCAGAAUCAGACGAGAGAAUAAAAAUAACAGUAUAAAACAUCAAAUGACCCUUUUCUAAUGCAUUCAUAUCUUCAAAAUCACAGUGAACAGAUAAAAUAAAUAAAAUUAAAAAAUAAAAGGAAAACAUCAAAUGUGCAAAAACAGAAUUCUGGUCAAACACUCUUUUUCUGCGCAUCACCACAAUAAGAAACCACAUAAACAAAAUACAAACAAAAGAAGAAAAUCAAAUGUGUUUGUGUUAUUAAUUGGAAAUUCUCUAUGUAUAUGCAUCAACAAAU